CCUACGGGGGGCAGCAGUGGGGGAUAUUGCACAAUGGGGGAAACCCUGAUGCAGCGACGCCGCGUGUGGGAAGACGGUCCUCUGGAUUGUAAACCACUGUCCCCAGGGACGAAGAUGACGGUACCUGGGGAGGAAGCUCCGGCUAACUACGUGCCAGCAGCCGCGGUAAUACGUAGGGAGCGAGCGUUGUCCGGAAUUACUGGGUGUAAAGGGAGCGUAGGCGGGACUGCAAGUUGGGUGUCAAAUCUACCGGCUCAACCGGUAGCCGCACUCAAAACUGCAGUUCUUGAGUGAAGUAGAGGCAGGCGGAAUUCGUAGUGUAGCGGUGAAAUGCGUAGAUAUUAGGAGGAACACCAGUGGCGAAGGCGGCCUGCUGGGCUUUUACUGACGCUGAGGCUCGAAAGUGUGGGGAGCGAACAGGAUUAGAUACCCCGGUAGUC
Molecule: ribosomal RNA, 440 nt
Filed under: uncultured bacterium
Lineage: Bacteria
Description: partial 16S ribosomal RNA
Rfam family: Bacterial small subunit ribosomal RNA
Source: RNAcentral